GGAUCGAUGAUGACACCCACAAACGCAUUCCUUGGAAAAUCUGAACAAAAUGAGUGAGAACUCACUACCGUCUCCUCAUCGCAAACUGAGUCC
This 93-nucleotide small nucleolar RNA is filed under the name Sus scrofa (pig). RNAcentral describes it as "Small nucleolar RNA SNORD116 (ENSSSCG00070018718.1)". It matches the Rfam family "Small nucleolar RNA SNORD116". Rfam says of the family: HBII-85 is a member of the C/D class of snoRNAs, which contain the C (UGAUGA) and D (CUGA) box motifs. HBII-85 is encoded in a tandemly repeated array with another C/D snoRNA, HBII-52, in the Prader-Willi syndrome (PWS) region of chromosome 15. The record is from RNAcentral. Lineage: Eukaryota; Metazoa; Chordata; Mammalia; Artiodactyla; Suidae.